AUGUGGCAGUCCAAGCCAGUCCUGCUCCUGCUCCUGCUCGCCGUCACCACGGCGGCGACCAGCGGUAAGCCGCUGCUCACGAAGAUCACCAAGGGUGCCGCGUCCACGGCGCUCUACACCGCGCCCCUCAGCGCCGGCCGCCCGCUGGUCCUCGACCUGUCCGCCCCGGCCAUCACGACGCCGUGCAGCGGGCAGACGACGACCGUCACGCUCUCCGCCAACUCCACCGACGGCAGCAACCCGCUGUCCCCGGUCUCCUUCGCUGCCACCGCCACCUGCGCGGCGGCCCCCUCCGGCGCCGUCGGCGUCGCGGGGCUCGCGCGCUCUAGCGCAUCGUUCCCGGCACAGGUCGCCAGUACACAGAAGGUGGCCAACUCGUUCGCGCUCUGCCUCCCGAGCGACGGCAGGACCGGGUUCAGCGGCAACGGCGUGGGCGCGGCCAUCUUCGGUGGCGGCCCGUUCUUCCUCGCGCCCCCGGCGGACCGGCCGUCCAUUACGACGCUCCUCUCCGACGGCGUCCCGCUCCGCCAGCCCUUCGCCGGGAACCCCGGCUACUUCGUGACCGCCACCAACGGCAUCGCCAUCGACGGGACGCGCGUGACCGUGUCCGGCUCCGGUGCGCUUGUGGUCGGCCUCUCCACCACGAUCCCCUACGCGCAGCUCCGGAGCGACGUGUACCGCCCCUUCAUCACGGCCUUCGACCGCGCCAUGGGAUCCAGCGCCAAGGUGGCGGCGGUGAAGCCAUUCGAGCUGUGCUACGACUCGUCCAAGCUGGCGCCGACGCGGUUCGGGUACCUGGUGCCGAACGUGGACGUGAUGCUGGAGGGCGGGACGAACUGGACGGUGGUGGGCGGCAACUCCAUGGCGCAGGUGAACAGCGGCACGGCGUGCUUCGCGUUCGUCCGGUCGGGAGGCAGCACGGGGGGCGCGACGCCGGCGCUGGUGAUCGGAGGGUUCCAGAUGGAGAACAAGCUGGUGGUGCUGGACAACGGCAAGAAGACGCUCAGCUUCACCCAGAACCUCCCGGGCAUGGGCUUCUCCUGCAGCAACUUCAAUUUCACCAGGGCCGGCUAG
This 1074-nucleotide ribosomal RNA is filed under the name Triticum aestivum (bread wheat). RNAcentral describes it as "partial small subunit ribosomal RNA". The record is from RNAcentral. Lineage: Eukaryota; Viridiplantae; Streptophyta; Magnoliopsida; Poales; Poaceae.